GUGCACCAGGCGAGAAUCUUCCACAAUGGGGAAACCCUGAUGGAGCGACGCCGCGUGCGGGAUGAAGGCCCUAUGGGUUGUAAACCGCUGUUCAGUGGAAAGAACAUCCUCCGGCUGAAUAGGUCGGAGGCCUGACGUUACCACUGCAGAAAGUCCCGGCCAACUCCGUGCCAGCAGCCGCGGUAAUACGGGGGGACGAGCGUUGUCCCGGAA
Molecule: ribosomal RNA, 213 nt
Filed under: uncultured microorganism
Description: partial 16S ribosomal RNA
Rfam family: Bacterial small subunit ribosomal RNA
Source: RNAcentral